GUCAAAAAUAAUGCAACCAACUCCUAACCUAAAACUGGGCUAAUCUAUUUAAUAAUAGAAGCAAUAAUGCUAAUAUGAGUAACAAGAAAUAUUUCUCCCUGCAUAAGCUUAUAUCAGAACGGAUAACCACUGAUAGUUAACAACAAGAUAUAUAUAACCUAACCAUAAACAAAAUAUCAAAUUAAUUGUUAACCCAACACAGGUAUGCAAAUUAGG
RNAcentral lists this ribosomal RNA (216 nucleotides) under Felis catus (domestic cat). Its description in RNAcentral is "partial 16S ribosomal RNA". The record is from RNAcentral. Lineage: Eukaryota; Metazoa; Chordata; Mammalia; Carnivora; Felidae.